This 447-nucleotide ribosomal RNA is filed under the name uncultured bacterium. RNAcentral's name for it is "bacterial SSU rRNA". It matches the Rfam family "Bacterial small subunit ribosomal RNA", at positions 355 to 825 of the family's 1533-position model. The record is from RNAcentral.
UGGGGAAUCUUGGACAAUGGGCGCAAGCCUGAUCCAGCCAUGCCGCGUGGAUGAUGAAGGCCUUAGGGUUGUAAAAUCCUUUCGUUGGGGACGAUAAUGACGGUACCCAAAGAAGAAGCUCCGGCUAACUUCGUGCCAGCAGCCGCGGUAAUACGAAGGGGGCUAGCGUUGUUCGGAUUUACUGGGCGUAAAGCGCGUGUAGGCGGAUUUGUAAGUUGGGGGUGAAAUCCCGAGGCUCAACCUCGGAACUGCCUCCAAAACUACAAGUCUGGACCUAAGUAGAGGCAAGUGGAAUUGCGAGUGUAGAGGUGAAAUUCGUAGAUAUUCGCAGGAACACCAGUGGCGAAGGCGACUUGCUGGACUUAUGGUGACGCUGAGACGCGAAAGCGUGGGGAGCAAACAGGAUUAGAUACCCAGGUAGUCCCUGAGCGGGCUGGCAAGGCGCAU